GUUCGUGCUACGUAGCUGCAUGUAGAUCGAGCGGACCUUCAGGCAGCCUUGCUCCCUGAGGUUAGCGGCGGACGGGUGAGUAACACGUGGGCAACCUGCCUGUAAGACUGGGAUAACUCCGGGAAACCGGGGCUAAUACCGGAUAAUUCAUUUCCUCUCAUGAGGAAAUGCUGAAAGACGGUUUCGGCUGUCACUUACAGAUGGGCCCGCGGCGCAUUAGCUAGUUGGUGAGGUAACGGCUCACCAAGGCCACGAUGCGUAGCCGACCUGAGAGGGUGAUCGGCCACACUGGGACUGAGACACGGCCCAGACUCCUACGGGAGGCAGCAGUAGGGAAUCUUCCGCAAUGGACGAAAGUCUGACGGAGCAACGCCGCGUGAGCGAAGAAGGCCUUCGGGUCGUAAAGCUCUGUUGUUAGGGAAGAACAAGUAUCGGAGUAUCUGUCGGUACCUUGACGGUACCUAACCAGAAAGCCACGGCUAACUACGUGCCAGCAGCCGCGGUAAUACGUAGGUGGCAAGCGUUGUCCGGAAUUAUUGGGCGUAAAGCGCGCGCAGGCGGUCCUUUAAGUCUGAUGUGAAAGCCCACGGCUCAACCGUGGAGGGUCAUUGGAAACUGGGGGGACUUGAGUGCAGAAGAGGAGAGUGGAAUUCCACGUGUAGCGGUGAAAUGCGUAGAGAUGUGGAGGAACACCAGUGGCGAAGGCGACUCUCUGGUCUGUAACUGACGCUGAGGCGCGAAAGCGUGGGGAGCGAACAGGAUUAGAUACCCUGGUAGUCCACGCCGUAAACGAUGAGUGCUAAGUGUUAGAGGGUUUCCGGCCCUUUAGUGCUGCAGCAAACGCAUUUAGCACUCCGGCUGGGGAGUACCGGCCGCCAAGGCUGAAACUCAAAAGGAAUUGACGGGGGGCCCCGCCACAAGCGGUUGGUAGCAUGUUGGUUUUAAUUCGAAAGCAAACGCGAUAGCACUUUACCAGGUCUUUGGACAUCCUCUGGACACUUCUGGAAGAACGUUCCUUUCCGCUUCGAGGGACAGAAUGGACCAGGUGGUGCCAUGAUGUCUCGUCAUGCUCGUGGACCAGGAAGUUUAGGACUCAAGCAGCAAUCGAGUGCUACCGUGAGU
Molecule: ribosomal RNA, 1122 nt
Filed under: Mesobacillus maritimus
Lineage: Bacteria; Bacillati; Bacillota; Bacilli; Caryophanales; Bacillaceae
Description: bacterial SSU rRNA
Rfam family: Bacterial small subunit ribosomal RNA
Source: RNAcentral